UACGUAGGGUGCAAGCGUUGCCCGGAAUCACUGGGCGUAAAGGGUGCGUAGGCGGGUAUUUAAGUCAGGGGUGAAAUCCUGGAGCUCAACUCCAGAACUGCCUUUGAUACUGAAGAUCUUGAGUUCGGGAGAGGUGAGUGGAACUGCGAGUGUAGAGGUGAAAUUCGUAGAUAUUCGCAAGAACACCAGUGGCGAAGGCGGCUCACUGGCCCGAUACUGACGCUGAGGCACGAAAGCGUGGGGAGCAAACAGG
RNAcentral lists this ribosomal RNA (253 nucleotides) under uncultured bacterium. Its description in RNAcentral is "partial 16S ribosomal RNA". It matches the Rfam family "Bacterial small subunit ribosomal RNA", at positions 524 to 776 of the family's 1533-position model. The record is from RNAcentral.